UACGGGGGGGGCAAGCGUUGUUCGGAAUUACUGGGCGUAAAGGGCUCGUAGGCGGCCAACUAAGUCAGACGUGAAAUCCCUCGGCUUAACCGGGGAACUGCGUCUGAUACUGGAUGGCUGGAGGUUGGGAGAGGGAUGCGGAAUUCCAGGUGUAGCGGUGAGAUGCGUAGAUAUCUGGAGGAACACCGGUGGCGAAGGCGGCAUCCUGGACCAAUUCUGACGCUGAGGAGCGAAAGCCAGGGGAGCAAACGGG
This 253-nucleotide ribosomal RNA is filed under the name uncultured bacterium. RNAcentral's name for it is "partial 16S ribosomal RNA". It matches the Rfam family "Bacterial small subunit ribosomal RNA", at positions 524 to 776 of the family's 1533-position model. The record is from RNAcentral.